Molecule: ribosomal RNA, 468 nt
Filed under: uncultured bacterium
Lineage: Bacteria
Description: partial 16S ribosomal RNA
Rfam family: Bacterial small subunit ribosomal RNA
Source: RNAcentral
GACGAACGCUGGCGGCGUGCUUAACACAUGCAGGUCGAACGGAAAGGCCCGGCUUUUGUGGGGUGCUCGAGUGGCGAACGGGUGAGUAACACGUGAGUAACCUGCCCUUGACUUUGGGAUAACUUCAGGAAACUGGGGCUAAUACCGGAUAGGAGCUCCUGCGGCAUGGUGGGGGUUGGAAAGUUUCGGCGGUUGGGGAUGGACUCGCGGCUUAUCAGCUUGUUGGUGGGGUAGUGGCUUACCAAGGCUUUGACGGGUAGCCGGCCUGAGAGGGUGACCGGCCACAUUGGGACUGAGAUACGGCCCAGACUCCUACGGGAGGCAGCAGUGGGGAAUAUUGCACAAUGGGCGGAAGCCUGAUGCAGCAACGCCGCGUGCGGGAUGACGGCCUUCGGGUUGUAAACCGCUUUCGCCUGUGACGAAGCGUGAGUGACGGUAAUGGGUAAAGAAGCACCGGCUAACUACGUG